Molecule: ribosomal RNA, 301 nt
Filed under: uncultured bacterium
Lineage: Bacteria
Description: partial 16S ribosomal RNA
Rfam family: Bacterial small subunit ribosomal RNA
Source: RNAcentral
CAGCAGCCGCGGGAAUACGUAGGUGGCAAGCGUUGUCCGGAAUUAUUGGGCGUAAAGGGCUCGCAGGCGGUUUCUUAAGUCUGAUGUGAAAGCCCCCGGCUCAACCGGGGAGGGUCAUUGGAAACUGGGAAACUUGAGUGCAGAAGAGGAGAGUGGAAUUCCACGUGUAGCGGUGAAAUGCGUAGAGAUGUGGAGGAACACCAGUGGCGAAGGCGACUCUCUGGUCUGUAACUGGCGCUGAGGAGCGAAAGCGUGGGGAGCGAACAGGAUUAGAUACCCCUGUAGUCCCUGUCUCUUAUAC